RNAcentral lists this ribosomal RNA (572 nucleotides) under Dirkmeia churashimaensis. RNAcentral describes it as "partial large subunit ribosomal RNA". It matches the Rfam family "Eukaryotic large subunit ribosomal RNA", at positions 96 to 648 of the family's 3401-position model. Lineage: Eukaryota; Fungi; Basidiomycota; Ustilaginomycetes; Ustilaginales; Ustilaginaceae. The record is from RNAcentral.
GAAGGGAAGAAGCCCAAGAUUGAAAGCUGUGCGUCUUCGGCGUCCGCAUUGUAAUCUCAAGAAGUGUUUUCCGCUUCGGACCAUGCCUAAGUCCCUUGGAAAAGGGCAUCAUAGAGGGUGAUAAUCCCGUACAUGGCAUGGAGCGCCCGAAGCUUUGUGAUACGCUUUCUAAGAGUCGAGUUGUUUGGGAAUGCAGCUCAAAAUGGGUGGUAAAUGCCAUCUAAGGCUAAAUAUUGGGGAGAGACCGAUAGCGAACAAGUACAGUGAUGGAAAGAUGAAAAGAACUUUGAAAAGAGAGUUAAACAGUACGUGAAAUUGCCAAAAGGGAAGGGUAGGAGGUCAGAGAUGCGGCCUGGGAUUCAGCCUUGCUUUUGCUUGGUGUUUUUCCCAGAUUGCAGGCCAACGUCGGUUUUGGGCACUGGAGAAGGGUAGGAGGAACGUGGCACCUCUCGGGGUGUGUUAUAGCCUCCUACUGGAUACAGCGACCGAGACCGAGGACAGCAGCGUACUCGCAAGAGCGGGCCUUCGGGCACCUUUACGCUUAGGGCGUUGGCAUAAUGGCCCUCUACCAC